RNAcentral lists this ribosomal RNA (491 nucleotides) under uncultured bacterium. RNAcentral describes it as "bacterial SSU rRNA". It matches the Rfam family "Bacterial small subunit ribosomal RNA", at positions 903 to 1397 of the family's 1533-position model. The record is from RNAcentral.
AAAGGAAUUGACGGGGGCCCGCACAAGCAGUGGAGUAUGUGGUUUAAUUCGACGCAACGCGAAAAACCUUACCAGGUCUUGACAUCCGACUAACGAAGCAGAGAUGCAUAAGGUGCCCUUCGGGGAAAGUCGAGACAGGUGGUGCAUGGUUGUCGUCAGCUCGUGUCGUGAGAUGUUGGGUUAAGUCCCGCAACGAGCGCAACCCUUGUUGUUAGUUGCUACGCAAGAGCACUCUAACAAGACUGCCGUUGACAAAACGGAGGAAGGUGGGGAUGACGUCAAAUCAUCAUGCCCUUUAUGACCUGGGCUACACACGUACUACAAUGGCGGCUAACAGAGGGGGGCGAAGGCGCGAGCCGGAGCAAAUCCCCAAAAGUCGUCUCAGUUCAGAUUGCAGGCUGCAACUCGCCUGCAUGAAGUCGGAAUUGCUAGUAAUCGCGAAUCAGCAUGUCGCGGUGAAUACGUUCCCGGGCCUUGUACACACCGCCCGU